UACGGAGGGGACUAGCGUUGUUCGGAAUUACUGGGCGUAAAGCGCGCGUAGGCGGAUUAGUCAGUCAGAGGUGAAAUCCCAGGGCUCAACCCUGGAACUGCCUUUGAUACUGCUAGUCUUGAGUUCGAGAGAGGUGAGUGGAAUUCCGAGUGUAGAGGUGAAAUUCGUAGAUAUUCGGAGGAACACCAGUGGCGAAGGCGGCUCACUGGCUCGAUACUGACGCUGAGGUGCGAAAGCGUGGGGAGCAAACAGGAUUAGAUACCCGAGUAGUCC
This 273-nucleotide ribosomal RNA is filed under the name uncultured bacterium. RNAcentral's name for it is "partial 16S ribosomal RNA". It matches the Rfam family "Bacterial small subunit ribosomal RNA", at positions 524 to 796 of the family's 1533-position model. The record is from RNAcentral.